RNAcentral lists this ribosomal RNA (742 nucleotides) under Stenotrophomonas chelatiphaga. RNAcentral describes it as "bacterial SSU rRNA". It matches the Rfam family "Bacterial small subunit ribosomal RNA", at positions 67 to 796 of the family's 1533-position model. Lineage: Bacteria; Pseudomonadati; Pseudomonadota; Gammaproteobacteria; Lysobacterales; Lysobacteraceae. The record is from RNAcentral.
CGGCAGCACAGUAAGAGCUUGCUCUUAUGGGUGGCGAGUGGCGGACGGGUGAGGAAUACAUCGGAAUCUACUUUUUCCUGGGGGAUAACGUAGGGAAACUUACGCUAAUACCGCAUACGACCUACGGGUGAAAGCAGGGGACCUUCCGGCCUUGCGCGAUUGAAUGAGCCCAUGKCCGAUUAGCUAGUUGGCGGGGUAAAGGCCCCCCAAGGCGACGAUCCGUAGCUGGUCUGAGAGGAUGAUCAGCCACACUGGAACUGAGACACGGUCCAGACUCCUACGGGAGGCAGCAGUGGGGAAUAUUGGACAAUGGGCGCAAGCCUGAUCCCGCCAUACCGCGUGGGUGAAGAAGGCCUUCGGGUUGUAAAGCCCUUUUGUUGGGAAAGAAAUCCAGCCGGCUAAUACCUGGUUGGGAUGACGGUACCCAAAGAAUAAGCACCGGCUAACUUCGUGCCAGCAGCCGCGGUAAUACGAAGGGUGCAAGCGUUACUCGGAAUUACUGGGCGUAAAGCGUGCGUAGGUGGUUGUUUAAGUCUGUUGUGAAAGCCCUGGGCUCAACCUGGGAACUGCAGUGGAAACUGGACAACUAGAGUGUGGUAGAGGGUAGCGGAAUUCCCGGUGUAGCAGUGAAAUGCGUAGAGAUCGGGAGGAACAUCCAUGGCGAAGGCAGCUACCUGGACCAACACUGACACUGAGGCACGAAAGCGUGGGGAGCCAACAGGAUUAGAUACCCUGGUAGUCC